UGUUCAAGAGCCAACCGUAUAGUUAUCCCUGCUCUCUCUUGAUUUCCAGAUACAUGGAAUAUCUUCUCCAUCCCUUCACUUUGAGCCUGUGAGUGUCUUUAAAGCUGAAGUGAGUCUCUUGGCAGCAUGUGGUUGGGUCUUGUUUUUUAAUUCAUCUAGGCAUUGGGUACCUUUGGAUUGAUGAACUCAUUUACCUUUAGAGUUAUCAUCGAUAUCUAAGAACUUAUUGAUGCUUAUUGUUUGCUGGGUAUUUCCAUGGUUUCUUUUUCCCUCUAUUUCUACCUACUAUUAUAAAUUUGUCAUUUUCCAUGGUGGUAUUCUCAGUUGGCUUUAUCUUUGUGCAUCUACUCUUGGUGUUUGUUUUGUGGUUACCAUGAGGCUUGCAUAUGACACCUCAUAGAUAAAAGUUCCCUUACAGCUGUUAGCAACUUAACUUUGAUCAUCUAUAAAAGCUUCACUUUUUUUACCCCCCCUUUUAAAUUUUUUGUCAUUAUUUACCUCUUUUAUAUAGUGUAUUCAGUAACAGUUUAUAGUACCUAUUAUUUUUGAUACUCUUUUCCUUGAUCUUUAUAAUAUAGUUAAGAGGCUAAUACACCAUUCUAUUACAGAAUUAGUUUUCUAAGUCUGACUGUAUAUUUGCCUUUAUUAGUGUGAUGUGUAUUUUCAUAUGUCUUCAUGUCACUGAUUGUCAUCUUUUCAUUUCAGCUUGAAGAAUUACUUUCAGCCUUUUGGAUAGAUGAUCAGCCCCCUGUACUCUUUCCUUGGGGGAAGGGGGACUCAGAAAGUUCUUCUUACAAUGUCUGCUACAUCCAUCUCUUUCCCCCCAGUGGCACGCCGGAAUCUCCACCAGGGAAGGCUGGGUUUCUGCACCUUCUCUGUCUUCUGUGGGUAUCCACCCGGGACAACUCUCUCCAGGUUUUUCCUGACUGGCGAGAGGGGUUGAGGCAGGCUCACUGCUCCACUGGUUCCACAGCCCAUAUCGAGGUGUCUGCCUAUUGCCAAGUGCACAGCUCCCAGGUAUCAAGCAGGCCCUCUAAUGCACAUUUGCUGAUUGAGUAUUGACUACAAAGAAGGUGCUGAUGAGGGCAGACACUCGUUUUCACGCUGUAGUAACUUGGAAAUGUGCAACCGUGUCAACGGAGACAAAAAAGCCAAAGUAACACGAAUCUUACGUUC
Miniopterus natalensis is the source of this 1176-nucleotide long non-coding RNA. RefSeq lists it as uncharacterized. The record is from RefSeq and is a predicted model, not a curated record. Lineage: Eukaryota; Metazoa; Chordata; Mammalia; Chiroptera; Miniopteridae.